Molecule: long non-coding RNA, 449 nt
Organism: Sorghum bicolor (sorghum)
Lineage: Eukaryota; Viridiplantae; Streptophyta; Magnoliopsida; Poales; Poaceae
Exons: 2
Source: RefSeq, a predicted model, not a curated record
GGUAAGGCGGAGUAGUACUACAGUAGGAAUAGGGAGGGGAACAAAUAAGAGGAGCCUGGGGAAAGCCAAGAACCAGACCAGUAGCCUAAGACUUCCUGAAGAGGAGAACAAAGUGAGAACCAGUCAAAAAUCCAAAGGCACAAAACCAUCCACGGUUUCUCCUACUAGUCAUCACCAACAAGUCUCUUGUGACCACCAAAUCAUAUACUAGUAGCCAUAACCCAAGGAGUAGAGGAGUUGGAGGGGAGGACGGUCUAGCAGAGAUCAGGAGAAGCAGUCGGUGGGCUAACCAAGCGCAAAACAUGGUGUUGCACAAGUACAAGGAUGCCACAUCCAUGUUCGUGUGCUUGCUGCCUCGGUCGAGCUCGUCCCCAAAACAAAGGGGACAAUAAAACGUCGAUGGACUUAUGAAGUAUACGAGUGGAUCUGAGUGACAUGCUAAAGGACAG